AUAUACAUUUUCUUCUCUAAUAUUUGGUUGAUUCAUCUCUGACUUUGAUAACUGUGGCUAAUCUUCAGAGCAUGGAGCUGAUUAGAUGCUGUAUCUCAAGUUGUAUAAUAGAAUCCCAUAUCAUCUGUAAUUCUAUUCUCAUCUCAGCUUUGAAGUGUAUUUGAUGUUGUAUCUUUGAUAUAUGAAACUUCAUUAUUGCUUAUAGAUUCUCUAUAGAAUUUAAAUCAGAACUUUAUGCAGAUCAUUUUAUUUAAUUCAUCUGUCAAUCAUUCAUUCACUGUUUUAACAGCUUAGAGAUAUAAUAUCUAGCUUCAUCUUCUGCUCAGAGUGCAAUCCCAUGUUUUUCAAGAAUGUGAAUAUAAUGAGAAUAGUUAUGAAGUAGGAGAAUUUCGAUUUGCAUCGGCGCCACCCUCCUCAUGGCCCCUCUUUCUUGCAGUUAGACACUCUUCUCAUCCAAUCUAGCAUCACCCAUUCAGAUCUAAUGUGUUUCAUUUUGAUUUGAUGCUGUCUGUUCAGAGAUGGCACUUGCUCUUGCUGCUGUGGCCUGUAUCAAUGUCAUCUGUUGCAACUAUAUAAGAUGCUCCUCUUUCUCUCUCUUGUGCACACACUUUCUAUCUUGUUUUUCUUUCCAAUCUCAGCCUUUCCUUGUUUCCCUCUCUUCAUUGAUGAUCAUCAAACUCUGACAUCUGUAUCUCUUCUUCUCUUAACAAAUGCUGGGCUGACUCACUGCCAUCACCACCAUGCUGAAUGAAGUUACUCAAUCUGCCAUAGCUCAACUACUUUUACAACAAUCCAUUGUCUUGAUAACUCUCAUCAUACUCUUGUACUCUUGUUCUUCUGUGGUUUACUGUUUUCAUUCUUCAGUUUCUUUCCACUGUUCUUUCAUUCUUUACACACUCUUAAUUCAUCACAUUCAUUGCUGUUCUCAGACUGUCAGUCUUUUUUCCUUCUCUUUUCUUAUCUUUUCUUUUCUUUUUUUUUUGUCUGAUAUCAGAGCAGAGGAUAUACUGUAUUUUGAGUCAAUGACAAAAAUGCCUCAUUCUCUGUAAAGCUGUACAUGUGGAUCU
Molecule: small RNA, 1067 nt
Filed under: Histoplasma capsulatum
Lineage: Eukaryota; Fungi; Ascomycota; Eurotiomycetes; Onygenales; Ajellomycetaceae
Description: hypothetical RNA
Source: RNAcentral